This 482-nucleotide ribosomal RNA is filed under the name uncultured bacterium. RNAcentral describes it as "SSU rRNA". It matches the Rfam family "Bacterial small subunit ribosomal RNA", at positions 26 to 518 of the family's 1533-position model. The record is from RNAcentral.
AGGAUAAACGCUGGCGGCGUGCCUAACACAUGCAAGUCGAACGUCCUUGCGUCUUUCGGGAUGCGAGGGAGUGGCGGACGGGUGAGGAACACGUGGGUGACCUACCUUUCAGUGAGGGAUACCGGCGAGAAAUUGCCGACAAGACCGCAUACGGUUCUUUCUUCGAUGGGAGAACGAAAGCUUUGUCGUAAGAUGAGGUGCUGGAAGAUGGGCCCGCGGCCGAUUAGCUAGCUGGUGGGUAACGGCCUACCAGGGCAUCGAUCGGUAGCUGGUCUGAGAGGACGAUCAGCCACACUGGGAUUGAGAACGGCCCAGACUCCUACGGGGGGCAGCAGUGAGGAAUUUUCGGCAAUGGGGGCAACCCUGACCGAGCAACGCCGCGUGCAGGACGACGGCCUUCGGGUUGUAAACUGCUUUUCUCUGGGACGAGAACGGACGGUACCAGAGGAAGAAGCCCCGGCUAACUACGUGCCAGCAGCCGC